RNAcentral lists this ribosomal RNA (468 nucleotides) under uncultured bacterium. RNAcentral's name for it is "partial 16S ribosomal RNA". It matches the Rfam family "Bacterial small subunit ribosomal RNA", at positions 28 to 507 of the family's 1533-position model. The record is from RNAcentral.
GACGAACGCUGGCGGCGUGCUUAACACAUGCAAGUCGAACGGAAAGGCCCUGCUUUUGUGGCGUGCUCGAUUGGCGAACGGGGGAGUAACACGCGUGUAACCUGCCCCUGACUUUGUGAUAUCAUCAGGAAACUGCGGCUAAUACCGCAUAGGAGCUCCUGAUGCAUGGUGGGGGUUGGAGAGAUUCGGCGGUGCGGGCUGGACUCGCGGCUUAUGAGCUUGAUAGUGGGGUAGUGGCUUACCAAGGCUGUGACGGGUAGCCGGCCUGAGAGGGUGAACGGGCACCUUGGGACUGAGAGACGCAGCAGACGCGUAUGGGACGCAACAGUCGGGAGCAUUGCGCAGCGGGCCGGCGCCUGAUGCAGCAACGCCGCGUGCGGGAUGCCCUGUUACGAGUUGUAAACCGCUGUCGAAUGUACCGAGGCGUGAGUGACGGUACUGAGUCAGGAAGCACCGGCUAACUACGUG